Molecule: long non-coding RNA, 239 nt
Filed under: Lathyrus oleraceus (garden pea)
Lineage: Eukaryota; Viridiplantae; Streptophyta; Magnoliopsida; Fabales; Fabaceae
Description: Pisum sativum (pea) long non-coding RNA (PSAT_LNC017236)
Source: RNAcentral
AAAGUUUUCCCAAGUCUUUUACAUCCCGUCAUAAACCUGUCUUAUAGCCUGAAUAUUCAAGAUACACUGUUUUCUUUGCUCACAAAUUUUUUUUGGUAAGGUUAAAGAUAUGGGAGAAGUACGGAUACACUACACAGAUGACUCGUCAAACACAUGUUAUUUAUUGAAAGAAAAAGCAAACAACUAAAACACACAAAACAUACUAAAAAUAAAGGAAAGCGAUAAAAAGCGAUAAAAAU